RNAcentral lists this ribosomal RNA (253 nucleotides) under uncultured bacterium. Its description in RNAcentral is "partial 16S ribosomal RNA". It matches the Rfam family "Bacterial small subunit ribosomal RNA", at positions 524 to 776 of the family's 1533-position model. The record is from RNAcentral.
UACGGAGGGUGCAAGCGUUAUCCGGAAUCACUGGGUUUAAAGGGUGCGUAGGCUGUUAAAUAAGUCAGUGGUGAAAGGCCGUAGCUUAACUAUGGGAUUGCCAUUGAUACUGUUUGACUUGAAUCAGGAUGAGGUUGGCGGAAUGUGACAUGUAGCGGUGAAAUGCUUAGAUAUGUCAUGGAACAUCGAUUGCGAAGGCAGCUGACUGGACCUAGAUUGACGCUGAGGCACGAAAGCGUGGGGAGCGAACAGG